This 492-nucleotide ribosomal RNA is filed under the name uncultured bacterium. RNAcentral describes it as "partial 16S ribosomal RNA". It matches the Rfam family "Bacterial small subunit ribosomal RNA", at positions 29 to 507 of the family's 1533-position model. The record is from RNAcentral.
AUUGAACGCUGGCGGCAUGCUUUACACAUGCCAGUCGAACGGUAACAGGCCUUCGGGUGCUGACGAGUGGCGAACGGGUGAGUAAUGCACCGGAACGUACCCAGAGGUGGGGGAUAACGCAGCGAAAGCUGUGCUAAUACCGCAUGUGAUCUGAGGAUGAAAGCGGGGGACCGAGCAGGAAUGUUUGGCCUCGCGCCUUUGGAGCGGCCGAUGUCGGAUUAGCUAGUUGGUGGGGUAAAGGCCUACCAAGGCGACGAUCCGUAGCUGGUCUGAGAGGACGACCAGCCACACUGGGACUGAGACACGGCCCAGACUCCUACGGGAGGCAGCAGUGGGGAAUGUUAGACAAUGGGCGCGAGCCUGAUCCAGCAAUGCCGCGUGCGGGAAGAAGGCCUUCGGGUUGUAAACCGCUUUUGGCAGGAACGAAACGGUGUCCGCUAAUACCGGGCGCUAAUGACGGUACCUGCAGAAUAAGCACCGGCUAACUACGUG